This is a non-coding RNA of Bacillus sp. CHD6a, 126 nucleotides long. Lineage: Bacteria; Bacillati; Bacillota; Bacilli; Caryophanales; Bacillaceae. The record is from Rfam.
AGGUGAUGUCUCCUUACCUUUAUCAAUGAGGGCACUCGGUUGCACUGUGGGUGGGGAGCGGUCUCCGCCUUAGAUACGAGGAGUUAUCAGUGGUGUGGUGUGAGGUGAGGUGGGGUUAAAUGCCCC